GACGAACGCUGGCGGCGUGCCUAAUACAUGCAAGUAGGACGCAGUUGCGAACGGGUGUGUAACACGUAGGUAACUAACUAUUAGUGGGGGAUAACUAUUGGAAACGAUAGCUAAUACCGCAUACUAGUAGAUGGACCUACGCUGUAUUAGCUAGUAGGUAGGGUAAUGGCCUACCUAGGCAACGAUACGUAGCCGACCUGGUAGGGGGAAAGGCCACACUAGGACUGCGAGAAGGACCAGACUCCUACGGGAGGCAGCGGAAGGGAGUCCUCGCGAAUGGGGGGAACCCUGGCAGAGCAAGGCGGCGUGAGUAAGGAAGGGUUACGGAGCGUAAAGCUCUUUUGUUGAGGGAGCGGUACUUAACCAGAAAGGGACGGCUAACUACGUGGCAGCAGCCGCGGUAAUAC
This 407-nucleotide ribosomal RNA is filed under the name uncultured bacterium. Its description in RNAcentral is "partial 16S ribosomal RNA". It matches the Rfam family "Bacterial small subunit ribosomal RNA", at positions 28 to 526 of the family's 1533-position model. The record is from RNAcentral.